CUGACUAGACCCAGCCCCUACUAACGGCAGUGGAUAGUAGGGGCUGGGUCUAGUGACGCAAUGUGGUUUUCAUUUUUUAGUUCAAGUGCUUUAAUCUUGCUUGUCCAAACAAUUAUGACAUCUUGUGAGGCUAGUUGUAUGCUCCAAUAGAAGGGGUAUUAUUUUUUUGGUAAAUGUAUCUGUCCAUCUUCCUGUCUGUUUCUUAAUCAAUUCCUAAUAAGGUUAUAGUCUUGAAAGAAGUUAAGGGUGAAGUUGUAGUCACUUCAACUUGAAAUGAAAUAAUAAAUGUUCCUUAUUAUGUAUUCUUUCUAAUUUGCAAUUCAAAUGAGGGCUUUUCACUCCUUUUUCAUGCUUCUGGUAUGCGGUUAACGAUUGAAAAAUAAGGAACAAGCAGUCAAACCGGGACUACAAAACACAAACCAGUCCAAGGCCACCAAAGGGCCCUCUAUACAGCCAGAAAUCCAUCAGCCAGAGGCUGUAUUGAACAGGUCCCGAAACACUUAUGUAUACUAGUUCAGGAAAAUGGACGCCACUCUACACUCCGAAACAUAGAUAUGAACAAAAUUAAAAAAAAAGUAUACAAGACUAACAAUGGCAAGAGUUUCCUGACAUAUGACUGGUGCAAUAAUGCUGCCGGCUUAAACGUGUUUACUUUUGUGAGAUCUCAACCUUCCCCCUAUAAGCAUGAUAAGUACAUUUUAAUAAGCUUUUAAAAAAAAAUACACCUUUAAAUAUCCCUUAUCAAUUAACAAAAGCCCUAUACGUAUAAAAAAAAUAACGUUUCAAACAUAUAAAAUUUAUCAAGAGUAGACCGAACGGAAAACUAUAUUUUUUUAAAAGAGACGGAACUGUUAGACCACUUGCGACCUGGGAGUAGAUCAAAUGGGAGUAGACCAACUGGAAUGUUACCAUUUUCAGUACCUGCUAAUA
This 930-nucleotide long non-coding RNA is filed under the name Mytilus galloprovincialis (Mediterranean mussel). The record is from RNAcentral. Lineage: Eukaryota; Metazoa; Mollusca; Bivalvia; Mytilida; Mytilidae.